AUGAUGACAUUGGCAGGCACUAACCAAGCUCAGGGAAACUGGGAACAACCUCAGAACCAAAAUCAGACACAGCACAAGCAGUGGCCACAGGCCACUGCAGAGCAAAUUCAAGUCGCACAGAUGAUUUCAGACCAUAAUGAUGCUGACUUAGAGGAGAAGGUGAAACGAUUGAUAUCACAGGCCAAAACCAGAUGAAUGUGUGAUUGCUUUCCAUGACUGCCAUGGAGAUGUCAACAGAGCCCUCAAUGUUCUGCUGAAAGGAAACCCAGACACGCAUUCCUGGGAGAUGGUUGGGAAGAAGAAAGGAGUCUUAGGACAGAAGGAUGGUGAACAGAUAGAAUCUAAUGAAGAAGGAAAAGAAAAUCGAGACCAGGACAGAGACUAUAGUCGGUGACGUGGUGGACCACCAAGUCAGGUGAGAGGUGCCAGCUGUGGGCGAGAGUUUGGGAGCCCCGAAAAUGGAUUGCAUGGCACUAAGAGUGGAGGUCCUUAUGGAAGAGGCACAGAAAGAGGCAGAAGAGGCCAUGGCCGAGGCAGAAGUGGCUCUGGUAGACUGGGAGGAAGGUUUUCUGCUCAAGGAAUGGGAACCUUUAACCCAGCUGAUUAUGCAGAACCAGUCAGUACUGAUGAUAGCUAUGGCAAUAGUGGCAAUACCUGGAACAACACUGGCCACUUUGAACUACAUGAUGGAACGAUUGAUUUCAUUGGGGCUGAGGGAUCAAAUUAUCCCUGAAAAUUUGAGAUUGCUCCUGGUGCAUGGAGGACUGCAACAGAAGAGUGGAGAACUGAAGAUUGGAAUGAAGAUCUCUCUGAGACCAAGAUCUUCACUGCCUCUAAUGGGUCUUCAUUGCCUCUGCCUGUGGAGAAUGUGACAAUCACUGCUGGUCAGAGAACUGACUUAGCUGUUCUGUUGGGGAAGAUACCAUCUUCAGUGGAGAAUGAUUCAUCUAACCUGGAUCCAUCUGAGGCUCCUUCUCUGGCCCAGCCUCUGGUGUUUAAUAACUCGAAGCAAAAUGUCAUGUCACAGCCUGCUUCAGGGAAUACAUUUUCUCAUCAUAGUAUGAUGAGCAUGUUGGGGAGAGGAUUUGGUGAUGUUGGGGAAGCUAAAAGUGGAAGUCUCACAGGCUCCCAGUUCUUUGAGCAAUUCAUGACUGCUCAGGCCCUGGCUCAGUUGGCUGCUCAGCAUUCUCAAUCUGGAAGCACCACCACCACGUCUUGGGACAUGGGUUCAAUGACACACUCACCAUUACUGGUUCAGUAAGAUCUGAAGAAUGCAGAUGACUCAACAGUGCAUAACCCCUUUACAAAGCAUCAGGCUUUCACCCCAUCUCCAACCAUGAUGGAGGUGUUUCUUCAGGAGAAGCCACCCCCAGUGACUACCUCCACAGCUGCACCUCCCACCCCCUCUUCUCCUCUGCCAAGCAAGUCCACCAUGGCUCCACAGAUGUCGCCGGGGUCUUCAGACAACCAGUCGUCCAGCCCUCAGCUGGCUCAGCAGAAACUGAAACAGCAGAAGAAAAAAACCUCGUUGACUUCUAAGAUUCCUGCUCUGGCUGUGGUGAUGCCUGGCUCAGCAGAUAUCUCAGGGUUAAAUCUGUAGUUUGGGGCAUUGCAGUUUGGGUCAGAGCCUGUCCUUUCUGAUUAUGAGUCUACCCCUACCACUAGCGCCUCUUCAAGCCAGGCUCCUAGUAGCUUGUAUACCAGCACAGCCAGUGAAUCUUCAGAGUGGCCCAAUUCAGUUGACAACCUAUAUCUCCCAAAAUAAUGCUCAGGGCCCUCUAUAUGAACAGAGAUCCACGCAGAUUCGGCAGUACCCCAGCUCUAUCUCUUCAUCACCCUUAAAGGACCUGACUCAGGUUAAGGUAGUGGCUUCAUGA
RNA transcript from Nannospalax galili (Upper Galilee mountains blind mole rat), 1877 nucleotides. It is a transcript of the gene named ubiquitin-associated protein 2-like pseudogene, with no coding region annotated. The transcript has a single exon. NCBI's taxonomy places the organism in Eukaryota, Metazoa, Chordata, Mammalia, Rodentia, Spalacidae. The record is from RefSeq and is a predicted model, not a curated record.